This is a long non-coding RNA of Sinocyclocheilus anshuiensis, 113 nucleotides long. RefSeq lists it as uncharacterized. NCBI's taxonomy places the organism in Eukaryota, Metazoa, Chordata, Actinopteri, Cypriniformes, Cyprinidae. The record is from RefSeq and is a predicted model, not a curated record. The transcript has 3 exons.
GUCUGUUUGUUUAAGUGCAUCAAGUGGAGUGCAAACGGUAAAAGGUCUUGAGGCAGGUGUGACACGCUCUCUAUUACGGAUUAAAAGUGUAAGUGAGUGUAAAAUAUAUAAAA